This 863-nucleotide ribosomal RNA is filed under the name Sabatieria sp. 1 FH-2016. Its description in RNAcentral is "SSU rRNA". It matches the Rfam family "Eukaryotic small subunit ribosomal RNA", at positions 95 to 972 of the family's 1831-position model. The record is from RNAcentral. Lineage: Eukaryota; Metazoa; Nematoda; Chromadorea; Araeolaimida; Comesomatidae.
KRCUCAUUACAACAGCCGUCGUUUCUUGGAUCUCUUAUUUUACUUGGAUAACUGUGGUAAUUCUAGAGCUAAUACACGCACUAAAGCUCCGACCUUACGGGACGAGCGCAUUUAUUAGAACAAAACCAAUCGGGUUUCGGCCCGUUCGUUGGUGACUCUGAAUAACUACGCCGAUCGCACGGUCUCGCACCGGCGACGCAUCUUUCAAGUGUCUGCCUUAUCAACUUUCGAUGGUAGUUUAUGUGCCUACCAUGGUUGUAACGGGUAACGGAGAAUAAGGGUUCGACUCCGGAGAGGGAGCCUGAGAAACGGCUACCACAUCCAAGGAAGGCAGCAGGCGCGCAAAUUACCCACUCUCGGCACGAGGAGGUAGUGACGAAAAAUAACGAGACGGAUCUCUUUGAGGCCCGUUAUCGGAAUGAGAACAAUUCAAAUCCUUUAACGAGGAUCUAGCGGAGGGCAAGUCUGGUGCCAGCAGCCGCGGUAAUUCCAGCUCCGCAGGUGUAUAUCUAUGCUGCUGCGGUUAAAAAGCUCGUAGUUGGAUCUGCGUGCUCGGAACCGGUUGGCUCACUGAGUUCAAACUGGUCUCCGGCGCUUUAUCGGCUGGUUUUCCCUUGAUGCUCUUAACCGGGUGUCUUGGGUGGCUAGCACGUUUACUUUGAAAAAAUUAGAGUGCUCAAUACAGGCGCAAAGCCUUGAAUAGUGGUGCAUGGAAUAAUGGAAUAGGACCUCGGUUCUAUUUUGUUGGUUUUCGGAACGCGAGGUAAUGAUUAAGAGGGACAGACGGGGGCAUUCGUAUUGCGACGUUAGAGGUGAAAUUCUUGGAUCGYCSCAAGACGGACGACUGCKAUWGCAUUUGCCAA